AGCGUACACGGUGGAUGCCCUGGCAGUCAGAGGCGAUGAAGGACGUGCUAAUCUGCGAUAAGCGUCGGUGAGGUGAUAUGAACCGUUAUAACCGGCGAUUUCCGAAUGGGGAAACCCAGUGUGUUUCGACACACUAUCAUUAACUGAAUCCAUAGGUUAAUGAGGCGAACCGGGGGAACUGAAACAUCUAAGUACCCCGAGGAAAAGAAAUCAACCGAGAUUCCCCCAGUAGCGGCGAGCGAACGGGGAGGAGCCCAGAGCCUGAAUCAGUGUGUGUGUUAGUGGAAGCGUCUGGAAAGGCGCGCGAUACAGGGUGACAGCCCCGUACACAAAAAUGCACAUAUUGUGAGCUCGAUGAGUAGGGCGGGACACGUGGUAUCCUGUCUGAAUAUGGGGGGACCAUCCUCCAAGGCUAAAUACUCCUGACUGACCGAUAGUGAACCAGUACCGUGAGGGAAAGGCGAAAAGAACCCCGGCGAGGGGAGUGAAAAAGAACCUGAAACCGUGUACGUACAAGCAGUGGGAGCCUCUUAAUGGGGUGACUGCGUACCUUUUGUAUAAUGGGUCAGCGACUUAUAUUCUGUAGCAAGGUUAACCGAAUAGGGGAGCCGAAGGGAAACCGAGUCUUAACUGGGCGUUAAGUUGCAGGGUAUAGACCCGAAACCCGGUGAUCUAGCCAUGGGCAGGUUGAAGGUUGGGUAACACUAACUGGAGGACCGAACCGACUAAUGUUGAAAAAUUAGCGGAUGACUUGUGGCUGGGGGUGAAAGGCCAAUCAAACCGGGAGAUAGCUGGUUCUCCCCGAAAGCUAUUUAGGUAGCGCCUCGUGAAUUCAUCUCCGGGGGUAGAGCACUGUUUCGGCAAGGGGGUCAUCCCGACUUACCAACCCGAUGCAAACUGCGAAUACCGGAGAAUGUUAUCACGGGAGACACACGGCGGGUGCUAACGUCCGUCGUGAAGAGGGAAACAACCCAGACCGCCAGCUAAGGUCCCAAAGUCAUGGUUAAGUGGGAAACGAUGUGGGAAGGCCCAGACAGCCAGGAUGUUGGCUUAGAAGCAGCCAUCAUUUAAAGAAAGCGUAAUAGCUCACUGGUCGAGUCGGCCUGCGCGGAAGAUGUAACGGGGCUAAACCAUGCACCGAAGCUGCGGCAGCGACGCUUAUGCGUUGUUGGGUAGGGGAGCGUUCUGUAAGCCUGUGAAGGUGUGCUGUGAGGCAUGCUGGAGGUAUCAGAAGUGCGAAUGCUGACAUAAGUAACGAUAAAGCGGGUGAAAAGCCCGCUCGCCGGAAGACCAAGGGUUCCUGUCCAACGUUAAUCGGGGCAGGGUGAGUCGACCCCUAAGGCGAGGCCGAAAGGCGUAGUCGAUGGGAAACAGGUUAAUAUUCCUGUACUUGGUGUUACUGCGAAGGGGGGACGGAGAAGGCUAUGUUGGCCGGGCGACGGUUGUCCCGGUUUAAGCGUGUAGGCUGGUUUUCCAGGCAAAUCCGGAAAACCAAGGCUGAGGCGUGAUGACGAGGCACUACGGUGCUGAAGCGACAAAUGCCCUGCUUCCAGGAAAAGCCUCUAAGCAUCAGGUAACAUCAAAUCGUACCCCAAACCGACACAGGUGGUCAGGUAGAGAAUACCAAGGCGCUUGAGAGAACUCGGGUGAAGGAACUAGGCAAAAUGGUGCCGUAACUUCGGGAGAAGGCACGCUGAUAUGUAGGUGAAGCGACUUGCUCGUGGAGCUGAAAUCAGUCGAAGAUACCAGCUGGCUGCAACUGUUUAUUAAAAACACAGCACUGUGCAAACACGAAAGUGGACGUAUACGGUGUGACGCCUGCCCGGUGCCGGAAGGUUAAUUGAUGGGGUUAGCGGUAACGCGAAGCUCUUGAUCGAAGCCCCGGUAAACGGCGGCCGUAACUAUAACGGUCCUAAGGUAGCGAAAUUCCUUGUCGGGUAAGUUCCGACCUGCACGAAUGGCGUAAUGAUGGCCAGGCUGUCUCCACCCGAGACUCAGUGAAAUUGAACUCGCUGUGAAGAUGCAGUGUACCCGCGGCAAGACGGAAAGACCCCGUGAACCUUUACUAUAGCUUGACACUGAACAUUGAGCCUUGAUGUGUAGGAUAGGUGGGAGGCUUUGAAGUGUGGACGCCAGUCUGCAUGGAGCCGACCUUGAAAUACCACCCUUUAAUGUUUGAUGUUCUAACGUUGGCCCGUAAUCCGGGUUGCGGACAGUGUCUGGUGGGUAGUUUGACUGGGGCGGUCUCCUCCUAAAGAGUAACGGAGGAGCACGAAGGUUGGCUAAUCCUGGUCGGACAUCAGGAGGUUAGUGCAAUGGCAUAAGCCAGCUUGACUGCGAGCGUGACGGCGCGAGCAGGUGCGAAAGCAGGUCAUAGUGAUCCGGUGGUUCUGAAUGGAAGGGCCAUCGCUCAACGGAUAAAAGGUACUCCGGGGAUAACAGGCUGAUACCGCCCAAGAGUUCAUAUCGACGGCGGUGUUUGGCACCUCGAUGUCGGCUCAUCACAUCCUGGGGCUGAAGUAGGUCCCAAGGGUAUGGCUGUUCGCCAUUUAAAGUGGUACGCGAGCUGGGUUUAGAACGUCGUGAGACAGUUCGGUCCCUAUCUGCCGUGGGCGCUGGAGAACUGAGGGGGGCUGCUCCUAGUACGAGAGGACCGGAGUGGACGCAUCACUGGUGUUCGGGUUGUCAUGCCAAUGGCACUGCCCGGUAGCUAAAUGCGGAAGAGAUAAGUGCUGAAAGCAUCUAAGCACGAAACUUGCCCCGAGAUGAGUUCU
RNAcentral lists this ribosomal RNA (2774 nucleotides) under Escherichia coli. Its description in RNAcentral is "bacterial LSU rRNA". It matches the Rfam family "Bacterial large subunit ribosomal RNA". The record is from RNAcentral. Lineage: Bacteria; Pseudomonadati; Pseudomonadota; Gammaproteobacteria; Enterobacterales; Enterobacteriaceae.